This is a long non-coding RNA of Pantherophis guttatus, 1179 nucleotides long. RefSeq lists it as uncharacterized. Lineage: Eukaryota; Metazoa; Chordata; Lepidosauria; Squamata; Colubridae. The record is from RefSeq and is a predicted model, not a curated record.
GACCACCUGUAAUAGAUAAAUAUGCUGUAAAUAAAUGUGUGCGCUCACAUUUGUGAACCAGUAGCAAAGUACAAUGAAGAUUCCCAAUUACAUCUUUCAGCCCUUCUAUUCUCCAUUGUUCCUGCUCCUUUCUAAGCCGAAACAAGGCAACAGAAGAUUUUUGUCUGCGCAAGCAUUUUGAAAUAGGCCUGUUAUAAGCGCAAUUUAUUUGUCUAGUUGCCCAUUAAGCAGUGGCGGGUUGCUACCGGUUUGGUCCGGAUCCUGUGAACCAGUAGUAACAGCGGCAGGAGACUCCGCCCACCCACCCGGACGUCAUCAUGGAUGCUCUGCGCAUGCGCAGCAGCUUCUGUGCAUGCGCAGAAGCGCCACACGCUCCAGUUGCGAACCGGUAGCAAAGGAAAAGAGCAACAAGAGAAAGAAAAAUAAAGAAGACCAUUUGAUGUCUGGGAAGUGAAUUAUUCAGGAUUUUAAGAAGCAGUUAAUUGUAUUCAGAAAUACAGGCUCAGAGAUUAAUCUUGUAGAUUUACGUUGCAGUUUAUUUUAGAAAACCUUCUUUAAGCAUCCCUUAAUUGGCACAACUGUUCUUAUGAUCUAAACAGAAACGAUAAAGAAAGCUAUCUCAACAUCUGUUUGUUCAAAUUGUGAUGCAUGUAUGUAUAUUCAUUUGUAAUAUGCAAGAUAAUGUGUUUCUCUAAUUUUGGGUAUUUCCUGUUUUAGUCUAAAGUAUGUUAUUUUUUGUUUACUCUUUGAAAUAUUUACAGUUUGUUUAAUUUUAUUUGCACAGAUUUAUUGUAAAGCAUUUUGAGCGCUCAUGAAGAGCAGGGACAAUUUAAGAAUGAAAUAAGCAAAUGUAUAUUGCUGUAGGCUUGAAAAAAGAUGCAAUUUGUUCAGUUUCCCUUUCAGGAUAAAUUUACAGACUUUUUCUCUUCCCUAUAAAGACAAAAACUGAAAUGCUAUUAUCAAUCACUGUUUCUGUUCCUCAGAAUCAUGAAUUAUAGUUUAUCAACAAUAAAAAUGCAUUAUGCAAGUGAGUAAAUUUGAAGUGUAUAUAAAUGUAUACAAAAAUACAUGACAUUACGUCUUUUUUUGUGUGUGUGCUAUCCCAUAUAACUCUCCUUGAACAACAGGCCACAAUUUUUAAAGUUUGCCCUAAUAAAACUCUGCCUGACUUAUUGUGGA